UUUCACUGAAACAAGGGGAAGGCUCAAAUGGGGUGUUGGCCCCCGAGGCAGCAGUAAAGAAUUUUGUGCAAUAUACGAAGGUAAGACACAGAGAGGGCACACUACUUAGUCCGUCAAAUUAAGUGCCAGCAGACGCGGUGAAACUUAAGGGUUAGUCUUAUAGGCAAAAGCGUAAGGGGUGUGAUAGGCCGUCUUAUUUAAGAGGGUAAAUGGAAUUUUGCUGUAAUGGUGGAAUGUGUUAAUAGAAAAAAGAACUUUAGACGUGAAGACUAUUUAUUUCAAAGACUAUACUGUGCGGGCUAAAACACGAGAGUAUGGGGAGCAAACAGGAUUAGGUAUCCUGGUAGUCUAUACUGUCAAUAAUGAAGAAGAUGUGAAGCAACCCUAAAAAGUAAGAAAUUUUCCGCUUGAGUAGUACGAUCGCAAGAUUAAAAUUCAAAAAACUUGGCUGUUCACUGUUUUAAUUAGAGGAGCGUGUCGUUUAAUUCGAUAGUCCGCGAGAGACCUUACCCAAACUUGAAUUCCUUAUUGACAGGUAUUGCAUGGCCGUCGUCAAUUUGUGUAUUAAAUAUAAAACAAAUUUAACCCAGUGGUUUGUCUAUUGGAUGAAGUCAGGUCUUAUUGUCCUAAUGUUUGGGGAUUAGAUGCGCUACAUUUUUUUAUACAAUGGGAAACUUUGAAAGGGAAACCCAAAAAUAAGAGUUCGGAAGGUGCCUGGAAGAUAACGGGAAGUUGGAUUUAAUAGUAAUUGAAAAGUAGAGCGUUUCAAUGAAAUUUAGUCAGUGUUAGUACAAAUAGCCCGUCGCCUUUGCUUAGAAAGAUUAUUUGGUUGCUCCUCAAGAGGGUUCUUAGUAUUUUCGAGGUAGAGUAAGUCGUAACA
This 880-nucleotide ribosomal RNA is filed under the name Hoplangia durotrix. RNAcentral's name for it is "partial 12S small subunit ribosomal RNA". It matches the Rfam family "Bacterial small subunit ribosomal RNA", at positions 314 to 1493 of the family's 1533-position model. The record is from RNAcentral. Lineage: Eukaryota; Metazoa; Cnidaria; Anthozoa; Scleractinia; Caryophylliidae.